UCUUAUAUGGUGGAGAAGAAGGGCUGUUGGUUAAAUAUUCCAAAGAAACAUUGUAAUUGCUGUGUUUAAGUGCUAUCCGUAGAAUGGUUUGCAUUUAUCGAAGGAUUCUUGGUCAGAUGAAAGGGAAGAGAUAACCUUUCAACGAAAGCGCACUUAAACACAGCAAUUACAAUGUUUCUUUGGAAUAUUCAACCAACAGCCCUUCUUCUCCACCAUCUAAGA
Molecule: non-coding RNA, 222 nt
Organism: Paramuricea clavata
Lineage: Eukaryota; Metazoa; Cnidaria; Anthozoa; Malacalcyonacea; Plexauridae
Source: the annotation of a GenBank genome assembly